Molecule: long non-coding RNA, 357 nt
Organism: Beta vulgaris subsp. vulgaris (sugar beet)
Lineage: Eukaryota; Viridiplantae; Streptophyta; Magnoliopsida; Caryophyllales; Amaranthaceae
Exons: 3
Source: RefSeq, a predicted model, not a curated record
CAAAAAUGUCUGGUUAUGCUGGUGUUGUUGUUUCUGACCCUUUACUUCAUAGUCAGUUUACUCGGUGAACUUCAAGCCUGAAAUCCAAAUAUACUUCGGUGAAGAGUCAUAGUGGUAAAGUCACCAUUGGAGAUUUGCCUUCAAUGAUGGCAAAGUUGAAAGCUUUUAGUCAGUCAUUUAAAGAGGAUGAUAUUAAGGGGAUUUUGACUGAGUCUGCUUCUGAUAUGAGAUCAAGAGAUCGAGUUUGAGGACUUUUUGAAGGUUCAUCUAAGCUUUCAAGCUAGAGCGUCAGCUCAGCUCGGUGGUUCAAAGGAUUCGUCAGCCUUUCUCAAGGCCUCAACGACUACCCUUCUUCAU